GAUGAACGCUAGCGGCAGGCUUAAUACAUGCAAGUCGUGGGGCAGCAUGAGUAGCAAUACUUGAUGGCGACCGGCAAACGGGUGAGGAACACGUACACAACCUUCCUUCAAGCGGGGAAUAGCCCAGAGAAAUUUGGAUUAAAUACCCCAUAAUAUAUUUGAUAAGGCAUCUUAUUAAUAUUAAAGCUUCGGCACUUGAUGAUGGGUGUGCGGCUGAUUAGAUAGUUGGCGGGGUAACGGCCCACCAAGUCUACGAUCAGUAGCUGAUGUGAGAGCAUGAUCAGCCACACGGGCACUGAGACACGGGCCCGACUCCUACGGGAGCAGCAGUAAGGAUAUUGGACAAUGGACGAAGUCUGAUCCAGCCAUGCCGCGUGAAGGAUUAAGGUCCUACUGGAUUGU
Molecule: ribosomal RNA, 402 nt
Filed under: uncultured bacterium
Lineage: Bacteria
Description: bacterial SSU rRNA
Rfam family: Bacterial small subunit ribosomal RNA
Source: RNAcentral